CAGUAGCCGCGGUAAUACAGAGGGUGCGAGCGUUAAUCGGAUUUACUGGGCGUAAAGCGUGCGUAGGCGGCUUUUUAAGUCGGAUGUGAAAUCCCUGAGCUUAACUUAGGAAUUGCAUUCGAUACUGGGAAGCUAGAGUAUGGGAGAGGAUGGUAGAAUUCCAGGUGUAGCGGUGAAAUGCGUAGAGAUCUGGAGGAAUACCGUUGGCGAAGGCAGCCAUCUGGCCUAAUACUGACGCUGAGGUACGAAAGAAUGGGGAGCAAACAGGAUUAGAUACCCCAGUAGUCCCUGUCUCUUAUAC
RNAcentral lists this ribosomal RNA (301 nucleotides) under uncultured bacterium. Its description in RNAcentral is "partial 16S ribosomal RNA". It matches the Rfam family "Bacterial small subunit ribosomal RNA", at positions 509 to 807 of the family's 1533-position model. The record is from RNAcentral.